This is a transfer RNA of Camelus ferus (Wild Bactrian camel), 72 nucleotides long. It matches the Rfam family "tRNA". From Rfam's summary of the family: Transfer RNA (tRNA) molecules are approximately 80 nucleotides in length. Lineage: Eukaryota; Metazoa; Chordata; Mammalia; Artiodactyla; Camelidae. The record is from Rfam.
GAGGGUACAGCUCAGUGGUAGAGCGCACGCUUGGCAUGCACAAGGUCCUGGGUUCAAUCCCCAGUACCUCCA